GGCUCUGUGGCCCAAUGGACAAGGCGCUUGACUACGAAUCAAGAGAUUUUAGGUUCGACCCCUGGCUGAGUCA
RNAcentral lists this transfer RNA (73 nucleotides) under Smittium simulii. It matches the Rfam family "tRNA". Rfam says of the family: Transfer RNA (tRNA) molecules are approximately 80 nucleotides in length. Their secondary structure includes four short double-helical elements and three loops (D, anti-codon, and T loops). Lineage: Eukaryota; Fungi; Kickxellomycota; Harpellomycetes; Harpellales; Legeriomycetaceae. The record is from Rfam by way of RNAcentral.